This 232-nucleotide ribosomal RNA is filed under the name uncultured bacterium. RNAcentral describes it as "partial small subunit ribosomal RNA". It matches the Rfam family "Bacterial small subunit ribosomal RNA", at positions 26 to 288 of the family's 1533-position model. The record is from RNAcentral.
AGAACGAACGCUGGCGGCAGGCCUAACACACGCAAGUCGAACGCCCCGCAAGGGGAGUGGCAGACGGGUGAGUAACACGUGGGAACGUGCCCAAAGGUACGGAACAACUCCGGGAAACUGGAGCUAAUACCGUAUGUGCCCGAAAGGGGAAAGAUUCAUCGCCUUUGGAUCGGCCCGCGUCUGAUUAGCUAGUUGGUGGGGUAAUGGCCCACCAAGGCGACGAUCAGUAGCU